CCUACGGGUGGCAGCAGUGGGGAAUAUUGGGCAAUGGGCGCAAGCCUGACCCAGCAACGCCGCGUGAAGGAAGAAGGCUUUCGGGUUGUAAACUUCUUUUCUCAGGGACGAAGCAAGUGACGGUACCUGAGGAAUAAGCCACGGCUAACUACGUGCAAGCAGCCGCGGUAAUACGUAGGUGGCAAGCGUUAUCAGGAUUUACUGGGUGUAAAGGGCGUGUAGGCGGGAAAGCAAGUCAGAUGUGAAAACCAUGGGCUCAACCCGUGGCCUGCAGUUGAAACUGGUUUUCUUGAGUACUGGGGAGGCAGACGGAAUUCCUGGUGUAGCGGUGCAAUGCGUAGAUAUGAGGAGGAACACCAGUGGCGAAGGCGGUCUGCUGGACAGCAACUGACGCUGAGGCGCGAAAGCGUGGGGAGCAAACAGGAUUAGAUACCCGAGUAGUC
This 443-nucleotide ribosomal RNA is filed under the name uncultured bacterium. RNAcentral describes it as "partial 16S ribosomal RNA". It matches the Rfam family "Bacterial small subunit ribosomal RNA", at positions 338 to 795 of the family's 1533-position model. The record is from RNAcentral.